UUGCUAAUGUUCACGCUUCAAGGAUUGUCAGCUACACCGCUGUAGAAUCACCAAACAAUGCCUCCAAAUCCCUCAAGAAGUCAGCCAUACAGCCUUCUAACUUUAGGAGCAUCUCAUGUUGACUUUGUCAAAUAUCUCAGGAUCCAUCACGAACCACAGAUGAACUAGGGCCCCGAGCUUCAACAUCAGAGAGGGAGAUGUUUCCCUGCAUUUGGUUCUCAAACACACACCUCUACAGACGUGGCUGAAUCCCCUCUUCCAUCCCUCUAGGGAAGAGAUGGCCUGAUACGGAGUCUGGCUAGAGUACUGAAAAUUUAUCAUAAUGUUUAUACUUCAUCGUCUUCUAUUCUUGUGCCUUCUAGCCUUAAAAUGUAACCAUGAUAUAUACAGAAGUUAUCCCUCAAUUUCUUGUAUCUUAUUUGGAGGGAAAUUUUGGAUGUUUGAGGGUAAGAGGCACAUGAGGGACUGGAUUUGAAUCUCUGCAUGUCAGAUAUUAAAGUUCAUGGAAUUAGGCACACAUUGCUAUAGUCAGUGUAACCCUCAAAUCUGAUCUUACUAAACCUACACAAUAUUUAAAAGAUGCUCCAGAUUUCUGAAACACUAUAAAAAUAAUGCUCUGAAUUUUAGACAUUUGAUAAUUUGUAAGUGAAGGUAUUCGAGUUUGAUUAUGAUAUGUCCAUGCAUUGAAGUUUAUUUAUGAGGAGAGUUAUUCAAUAGACAUUUCUUGGGGCCAAAUAUAUGUAUAUGAAA
RNAcentral lists this long non-coding RNA (750 nucleotides) under Homo sapiens (human). Its description in RNAcentral is "HSALNT0186321". The record is from RNAcentral. Lineage: Eukaryota; Metazoa; Chordata; Mammalia; Primates; Hominidae.